GUUUAUUUGAAGAUUUAAAUGAUUUAACCUGCCCCCUGAUUUUAAAAUUAAAGGGCCGCAGUAUUAUAACUGUGCAAAGGUAGCAUAAUAAUUAGGUUUUUAAUUGGGAUCUUGUAUGAAUGGUUGGACAAAAGAGCAUCUCUCUUUAUAUUAAGUUUUAAAUUUAACUUUUAAGUGAAAAGGCUUAAAUAUUUUAAAGGGACGAUAAGACCCUAUAAAACUUUACAUUGUAAUUAUAAUUUUAGUGAAUUUUAAAAUAAAAGUUUAAUUUAAUUAUUUGUUGUGUUGGGGAGAUCUAAGUAAAAUAUAUUUUUAACUGCUUAAAUAAUUAAACAAUUAUUAAUGGUAUAUAAAAGAUCCUUUAUAAAGAUUAAUAGUUUAAGUUACUUUAGGGAUAACAGCGUAAUUUAUUUUAAGAGUUCUUAUCGAAAAAUAAGAUUGCGACCUCGAUGUUGAAUUAAAAUAUCUAUAUAAUGAAGAUGUUAUACUAGAAGGUCUGUUCGACCUUUAAAAUUUUACAUGAUUUGAGUUCAAACCGGUGUGAG
RNAcentral lists this ribosomal RNA (545 nucleotides) under Tiwaripotamon edostilus. Its description in RNAcentral is "partial 16S ribosomal RNA". The stretch from base 394 to 545 matches the Rfam family "Bacterial large subunit ribosomal RNA", at positions 2473 to 2625 of the family's 2925-position model. Lineage: Eukaryota; Metazoa; Arthropoda; Malacostraca; Decapoda; Potamidae. The record is from RNAcentral.